GUUAAUAAUUCAUUAAUUACAAGCUCAGAAAACACAGUAAGCAGGCUUCGUGAUACAGGGAGAACUUGAGCAAGCAGACUUUCUAGGUUUCUAAAACCUGCACAGGUUAGGCUUAACCUUUUCUUUUGUUUGUGCCAGAACAACAUCAUCGCAGGUAACUGAUGUUUUUUUCUUACCUGAAGUUCAUGACAUAACUGUACAUAUGUUAUGUUUGAGGCUCUCUAUAUAUGGGUACCGUGCUUUCACUAUUGUUUUUUUUAAGUCAUCAUUCUUUGACACAAAUUUAAGAGCUUCCAAUUGCUGCAGGAGCAUUGAUGAAUUUGGAUCAAAUGCUUCCAACAGAGCUUAGAAGAACCUGAGCUCCCAAAGAAAUCAACAAAACCGGAAAUUCUCACGAUAGGUCCGGAUUUGAGUUUCAAAUUCAAAUGUAGAACUGUAAUCAAUCCAGAGCAAAUUACUUGGCAAACUCAUGAGAUUAUGCAUGAGUUGGACCUUCCUACAAAGAUAAGAUUGUGAGCAUUUUACAUACAAAUGUGCUUGCUGCUGGAUAAGAAUUCAGCAUAACAAAAAAUUCC
Molecule: long non-coding RNA, 575 nt
Filed under: Populus trichocarpa (black cottonwood)
Lineage: Eukaryota; Viridiplantae; Streptophyta; Magnoliopsida; Malpighiales; Salicaceae
Description: long non-coding RNA (PTRI_LNC003715)
Source: RNAcentral